UCGGAUUGCAGGCUGCAACCCGCCUGCAUGAAGUUGGAAUCACUAGUAAUCGCGGAUCAGCAUGCCGCGGUGAAUGCGUUCUCGGGCCUUGUACACACCGCCCGUCACACCAUGAGAGUCGGGAACACCCGAAGUCCGUAGCCUAACCGCAAGGGGGGCGCGGCCGAAGGUGGGCUCGAUAAUUGGGGUGAAGUCGUAACAAGGUACC
RNAcentral lists this ribosomal RNA (208 nucleotides) under uncultured bacterium. RNAcentral's name for it is "partial 16S ribosomal RNA". It matches the Rfam family "Bacterial small subunit ribosomal RNA", at positions 1293 to 1500 of the family's 1533-position model. The record is from RNAcentral.